UAAGAUACGCCUUAGCUUUCUUAUUGUGG
RNAcentral lists this small RNA (29 nucleotides) under Bombyx mori (domestic silkworm). RNAcentral describes it as "ovarian small RNA-19184". Lineage: Eukaryota; Metazoa; Arthropoda; Insecta; Lepidoptera; Bombycidae. The record is from RNAcentral.